UUAAAAUCUGAAAUCCAGCGACUGGAGCAGUGCUAAAACGAUUGAAGAUUAGAGGCUUUAUUCAUAAUUCCUGGUGCAAAGAAUAGCAGCUGAUGUGGAGAAAUGUUUGAUGCUUCAAGACUCUCUGAAGCUGAUUAUAUUAGGUGCACCCAGUGGCUUUUGACUAGGCCUAUUCGAGGGUCAGAUGGUUGUGAAUUCAUACCUCAACUUUGCGGCUGGAUUUUCAGUCUUAUUACAACUUCAGUCUGGCGUCCCGGGAGCAGGCGUCUUUUGCACACUUGAAUUAUUUCAAAGAUGUUUUGUUGGAAUCACAACACUCGCUGAAUACAAGACGGAUAUACAGAGGCAAAACAAGUGGAAAGGUCUCAGAGAAGAGGGACAACCCUCAUGUGUGUGCUCAUCUCAGAAAGUUGAUGGACUUUCAAUAUGUAUUUAUUAAAUUGUCUUUUGCAGGAAUAUUCUAAAUUUAAUAUAACAUAAGCUCAAACAACAGAAUUUGUGGUAUAAUGUUGAUUCCAGCAUUUUAUUUGAAUCCUUUAACCAAAAUUAUACAAAUUCUGUUGAUUGACCUUAAUUUUUUUAUAGAAAGUAAAUGUUCUACUCAGAAUAUGGCUUAUUUUUUGUGAUAUAACAGU
Molecule: long non-coding RNA, 635 nt
Organism: Onychostoma macrolepis
Lineage: Eukaryota; Metazoa; Chordata; Actinopteri; Cypriniformes; Cyprinidae
Exons: 4
Source: RefSeq, a predicted model, not a curated record